This 203-nucleotide ribosomal RNA is filed under the name uncultured bacterium. Its description in RNAcentral is "partial 16S ribosomal RNA". It matches the Rfam family "Bacterial small subunit ribosomal RNA", at positions 524 to 726 of the family's 1533-position model. The record is from RNAcentral.
UACGUAGGGUGCGAGCGUUGUCCGGAAUUAUUGGGCGUAAAGAGCUUGUAGGCGGUUUGUCGCGUCUGCUGUGAAAUCUCAAGGCUCAACCUUGAGCUUGCAGUGGGUACGGGCAGACUAGAGUGUGGUAGGGGAGCUGGAAUUCCUGGUGUAGCGGUGAAAUGCGCAGAUAUCAGGAGGAACACCCGAUGGCGAAGGCAGGU